GGAGACGUGACCGAGCGGCCGAAGGUGCUCCCCUGCUAAGGGAGUAUGGGGUGUUGAGCCUCAUCGAGGGUUCGAAUCCCUCCGUCUCCGCCG
This 93-nucleotide transfer RNA is filed under the name Burkholderiaceae bacterium. Its description in RNAcentral is "tRNA-Ser". It matches the Rfam family "tRNA". From Rfam's summary of the family: Transfer RNA (tRNA) molecules are approximately 80 nucleotides in length. Their secondary structure includes four short double-helical elements and three loops (D, anti-codon, and T loops). Lineage: Bacteria; Pseudomonadati; Pseudomonadota; Betaproteobacteria; Burkholderiales; Burkholderiaceae. The record is from RNAcentral.